Molecule: long non-coding RNA, 2676 nt
Organism: Marmota monax (woodchuck)
Lineage: Eukaryota; Metazoa; Chordata; Mammalia; Rodentia; Sciuridae
Exons: 3
Source: RefSeq, a predicted model, not a curated record
CCACCCGAUGGCCCCGGGGUACCAAACAAACCCUCCUCCCAGGGGCAGCCAUAGCAAUGCUACCAAUCCCAGGAAACCCACCCCUGUUCAUUUUCUCACUCACCCACACACCCCCCAGCAGCUAUUUAUCCAGUCACUACCCCGCGCUGGAGAAGCCAGAAUCUGACAGACACAGCACACAGCCACACAUGCUCACAGCCUCAGAGAAUCCCAGAGCCCUCCGGUGAAGACUCGGGUGAAGCUGAUGGAGAUCGAGGAGGGUUGACUUGGGGUGGAGGCUCCCUGCUGUGGAGAGGGGACAGAGCAGGGCAUGGGAGCUCAGGAUGCGCUGGGCACUCAUGACACGCCAGGGACCCUGGAAGGUCCUUUGCAUAGGUGCUCAUCUUUCUCAUGGCUCUGAGAGAAAGGUGCUAGGCUCUGUCCCUGCCACUUUCCAGAUGAGGAAACUGAGACAGGAGUGUUUGAAGAACUCGCCAAUUCACCCAAGCAGCACAGCCACACAGAGGAGCAACAGUGUGGCACUAAGCCAGGGACGAUGGAGGAAAGAAGAGAAAGACAGGAGCAAUGGCCUUCAGUGCUCCUCUUCCCAGCCCAACACCUGGCCGGCUAGGAUGGCAGAGGCUCAACGACUGCCACUGUGCCUGGCCUCUAGUUAACGCCUGAGAAAGCUGACUCCUUCCACCCUCUGAGCAGCAAGUUCCCUCCCGCCUGGUAAACUCACUCCUCUGCCAUCCUGUCCGGUAGCAGCCCUCUGUUCUGGUAAAAUUCUGCCCUCUCCUGUGGGUCCAGAGGGGGCACUAAGGCUGCCCAGCCCUGGACCGUGGCCUCCUUACCUGGGCACAGAGGGAGCACAGGAUUCCAGCCCUGCAGGCACUUGGCUCCUAGCAGCAGCCAGACAGAGGCGUGGGGCAGGCGGAGGGAGGGGAGGAGUGAGGCUGAGGGAGGAAACAGCUGUCAGCUCCAGUGUGUGUGCGCGCACGUGUGUGUGCAUGUGCUUGUGUGUCUGUCUGGGGGCGGGAGGCAGUGAUAGCCAGAGAUUGAGCUCUCACGCUGGUGAUCGAGAACCAUUCAUCCAUCUGCCAGCAGCCCCUGCUCCACCGAGUCCUUUAUGGAGGAGUCUUUGCAGCCCAAGGACACUGCGAGUGUGCACGGGGCCAUCCCUGUGUGCAGCAAAGUGGGGACUCGGUAUGUCCAGGGGUGUGCUUUGGAGUGACCAGCGUGCAGGAGGAUGAGGACUAUGCCUUGCCCUGCUUUCCACCCUCCUUGGACCGCUCUCUUCUGACACCGUAGUCCUCAGAGAGGAAGGUCCCCAAGUGGCAUGGGUGCCUGUGCACCAGGGACCCCAGGAAAGCAGGGGGAUAGGAGGAGCAUGGGAGGCCUGGCCACCAGCGCUGGCCCCACACCCACAGCCAGAGGCCGGUCACUUCCCCUUGCUGAGCCCCGCGUUGUCAUCUGUGAGCAGGACCAGUGUCUGCUUUGAGGCAGAGGCGAGGGCUGGCCGAGGGGAGUCAGGGGGCUCCGCCACUGACCCAUCCCCAGCCCUUUUUUGUAUUUUUUUUAGAGGAGAGAGUAAGGGCUCGAAAAAAUUAGCUUCUUCCCCCGCUGGGGGAGAAAUGGGCACAGGCUAGAGGCCAAGGCUGUCCGGGUUUCAUUUAGAAUAGGCUGGAAGCCCUGGGGUAAGAGAACUUUGAAUCCUGUAGUUUGCACUUCAUCGUUCCCUAACCUCGCCCUCUGCUUUGCUUUUGGGGGUCAGACUCCCUUUCUUCACAGCAGCCCGCAGAUGCUCAAUAAAACAUGUCAAGACCGAGUCAGGACAGAGGGCAGGGUGUCCCACUGAGGCCUGGGCUGGCGCCCAGCCUGGGUGGAGGGUGGAUGAGCAGGACAGCACUUCUCCCAGCCCCGGUGGUGAAGCAGCGGGGACCUUGCUCACCCGGCCUCUGCCCUGGGCCAGGGAGGCCUGGACGUCCAAACACAGAGGCCUGCAGCCUCCCGAGAAACAGGUGGCUGUUUCCACCCACCCUGGGGAAGUGCCCCCAUCCCUGCCCCCCCACUGAUCCAUGGGAAGGCCAUUCAGGCAGGGCGCAGGGUGCUGAGGCCCCAGGACCCUGCAGCCAGACCGCCAGUGUCUGCAUCCGGCACUGCCUCUUCCUAGCUAUGCGACGAGGCGAGGAGCUUCAGGCGGUAUGAUGUGACUCUGGGGGCCAGCGGGGGCGGAGGGGAUACCCGAGAUGAACUUGGGGCGCUCCACCGCUGAGCCACAUCCCCAGCCCUUUUCUGUAUUUUAUUUAGAGACGGGGUCCCACUGAGACUUCGCACCUCGCUUUUGCCGAGGCUGGCUUUGAAUUCGUGAUCCUCCAGCCUCAGCCUCCUGAGCCAUUGGAAUUACAGGCGUGCGCCACCGCACCCGCAAGAUGUGAAUUUUAAAAGACAUAUCUCAGCCUAGGGCAUCAGGCUGGACAUGAGGCACAGGCCUCUCUCUGGAUCUCAGCCAUCUCCUGACUCCUCCAACCAGUCACCCUUGUGCAGUGAACAUCCCGCACCACCUCUCAUGGCAGCCCCUUUGUUCAUUUCCAGCUAAAAUCUUUAUUCCUCUGAAACUUCUCUGUUCUUGUUUCCAAUCCUGGAAUCAUUGUCAUGGCUUGGUUCCCAGCCCUCCCUGAGGACAACUUAUUCUAA